RNAcentral lists this long non-coding RNA (869 nucleotides) under Homo sapiens (human). RNAcentral's name for it is "long intergenic non-protein coding RNA 2434". Lineage: Eukaryota; Metazoa; Chordata; Mammalia; Primates; Hominidae. The record is from RNAcentral.
CCUUCCGGUCUAAAUGGUAAACUCCUCUGCAUUGUAAGUCAGUGUCUAGAGUGGUGAUUUGCUUUCUGGGGUGUGUUUUUCACAGUGAUGGUGGAUCCACAAAUUUCAAACAAAUUCUUUCUCCACCAGUUCUGUUCGGUUCUAUUUUGGUGGGGCCCACGCGUCAUCACAGAGUAUCUGGGAGCCCUGCCCUCUUGCAGAUGGGAAUGAAGGCCCAGGUGCUCUGGAGAGGUGACUCUCCUCUAGAAAGGAAACACUGGUUCUGUAAACCUGUUUGAGAAGAAAAGCUCGAGGUUUCUUGGCCUCUCUGCUUCUGGAGCCAGGGGAAAAAAUAGCCCCAGGCUGAAGACAGGAGGGACCAGAUUGCUGCUUGGUGAUGCGAUCUCACUGCAGAGGCAGCCAGGAGACCCUCCUGAGACGAAUCGGAGAGUCCAUGCUGCUUUUACACACAUCCUAGUUCUUUUAUAACUAGCCUUUUCCUAUUAACGGACAUCAUUCAAAAGCCAGUUUUAAGCAACAUAAAUAUUGAAAACAAUACUAUACUAUUUAGAAUUAAUUAUAAGUUUUGUUUUUAAAGCCUAAAUCUUUUAUUGUUGUUUGAACCCUGGGCACUGAAGCUAAUAAUGUAACUUUUCUCCCUUCUUUCUUCUUUGGCAUAGAUUUAAAGAACUGUUAGACUCAUUUAAAAUGCUAUUAGGCAUUUUAAAGAGUAAUUGUUAAAUGUGUUGUCUCUUGUGGGACUGGAAAUGUUCUGUUCUUAUCUGGCGCUGGUUACAUCCUGUUUUUCAUUUGGGAAAGUGCAUUGAGCUGGAAAUUUAUAUGUUCAAUUUCUGUAUGUAAAUUGUACUUCAGUAAAAAUUUUCAAAAAA